This 256-nucleotide ribosomal RNA is filed under the name uncultured Gardnerella sp. Its description in RNAcentral is "partial 16S ribosomal RNA". It matches the Rfam family "Bacterial small subunit ribosomal RNA", at positions 99 to 354 of the family's 1533-position model. The record is from RNAcentral. Lineage: Bacteria; Bacillati; Actinomycetota; Actinomycetes; Bifidobacteriales; Bifidobacteriaceae.
CGAACGGGUGAGUAAUGCGUGACCAACCUGCCCCAUGCUCCAGAAUAGCUCUUGGAAACGGGUGGUAAUGCUGGAUGCUCCAACUUGACGCAUGUCUUGUUGGGAAAGUGUUUAGUGGCAUGGGAUGGGGUCGCGUCCUAUCAGCUUGUAGGCGGGGUAAUGGCCCACCUAGGCUUCGACGGGUAGCCGGCCUGAGAGGGCGGACGGCCACAUUGGGACUGAGACACGGCCCAAACUCCUACGGGAGGCAGCAGAU